This 253-nucleotide ribosomal RNA is filed under the name uncultured bacterium. Its description in RNAcentral is "partial 16S ribosomal RNA". It matches the Rfam family "Bacterial small subunit ribosomal RNA", at positions 524 to 776 of the family's 1533-position model. The record is from RNAcentral.
GACGGAGGGUGCAAGCGUUGUUCGGAUUGACUGGGCGUAAAGGGCGUGUAGGCGGUUGGUCAAGUCCGAUGUGAAAGCCCGGGGCUCAGCUUCGGAAGUGCAUCGGAAACUAGCCAGCUGGAGCGCGAUAGAGGAGGGCGGAAUUCCUGGUGUAGCGGUGAAAUGCGUAGAUAUCAGGAGGAACACCGGCGGCGAAGGCGGGUCUCUGGGCAGUAACUGACGCUGAGGAGCGAAAGCGUGGGGAGCGAACAGG